UACGUAGGGGGCGAGCGUUGUCCGGAUUUAUUGGGCGUAAAGAGCGUGUAGGCGGCCAGGUAGGUCCGUUGUGAAAAACUCGAGGCUCAACCUCGAGACGUCGAUGGAAACCAUCUGGCUAGAGUCCGGAAGAGGAGAGUGGAAUUCCUGGUGUAGCGGUGAAAUGCGCAGAUAUCAGGAAGAACACCUAUGGCGAAGGCAGCUCUCUGGGACGGUACUGACGCUGAGACGCGAAAGCGUGGGGAGCGAACAGG
RNAcentral lists this ribosomal RNA (254 nucleotides) under uncultured bacterium. RNAcentral's name for it is "partial 16S ribosomal RNA". It matches the Rfam family "Bacterial small subunit ribosomal RNA", at positions 524 to 776 of the family's 1533-position model. The record is from RNAcentral.